RNAcentral lists this ribosomal RNA (408 nucleotides) under uncultured bacterium. RNAcentral's name for it is "partial 16S ribosomal RNA". It matches the Rfam family "Bacterial small subunit ribosomal RNA", at positions 28 to 526 of the family's 1533-position model. The record is from RNAcentral.
GACGAACGCUGGCGGCGUGCCUAAUACAUGCAAGUAGAACGCAGUUGCGAACGGGUGAGUAACGCGUAGGUAACCUGCCUCAUAGCGGGGGAUAACUAUUGGAAACGAUAGCUAAUACCGCAUACUGUGAGAUUGACCUGCGUUGUAUUAGCUGUUUGGUGAGGUAAAGGCUCACCAAGGCGACGAUACAUAUCCGACCUGAGAGGGUGUACGGCCACACUGGGGCUGAGACAAGGCCCAGACUCCUACGGGAGGCAGCAGUGGGGAAUAUUGCACAAGGGGCGCAAGCCGGAUGCAGCCAUGCCGCGUGUAUGAAGAAGGCCUUCGGGUUGUAAAGUACUUUCAGCGGGGAGGCGUUACCCGCAGAAGAAGCACCGGCUAACUCCGUGCCAGCAGCCGCGGUAAUAC